UAUAACUCAAGGUAAUCAGAUGCUAUUAUAAACCUUUACAAAUGACUCAUUAUAUUCUGGCAACCGCCUUUUUUUUCAUUUUGUUUUUGUUUUUAUGUUUUUUUAUUUUCUUGUCCGCGGUACUCAUCGUGGGCAUGUGUCCUCUUUACCUGAUCUGUCUAAUUCAUCUACAAAGACAUUUAUGGUAAAAGAACAGCAUUAAGUCGACACACUCAUAUGUGCACGCCAGGACAAAUAUCAAAUUAAACAAAAGGUACGCAUCAGAGAGAAAGAAAGUAAUGUGUAAUUACGUUUGUAAUUUCGGUAAUCCAAUAGAUAAAACAAAAAAUCAGAGCAAAAUAAAAAAAGAUGAAAUAAUUAGGCUUGUGCGAAGAAGAUAUUGUAAUAAGUAAAGGAUUACAGCGAAAUUGUCAAACAAAAUAGAAAACAUGAGCACUGUUAUCAACACGAACUGCAUUUCUUGAUUAAGAAAUAAAGCUAUUCAUCGAUACUUUCUACGAUGGACAUUCCGAAACGUGAUUUUUCGUAAUUCGUCUGAGAGAUUUAAGGAACAAUUGUAAACAUUGUCAGCUCUUCUCUCUACUCAAAGUGGAAAAAUCGAGUUUGUAAUAACUAUCCCUGGGGUUGAGGGAGAGGAUAGAGGGAAGGGGGAGGUGACGGGGAGGUGAAAACUAAUUCAGGUCAAAUGGCAAGCACUGCAAUGCCUGUUGUUGCAGGCAGGCAGUCAUUAGAUGCACAAAGCACUCUCUCUUUGUUGAAUUGAUGUACAGAAGCUUACUUGACCUAACUUUCUGACACAUUCCUAGACAUCUGACUAGUGUUCACAGUAGUGCAGUAGCGUGAUUCUAAAGUUCAAGUGUCUGAAUGAAUAGAGUCAUCUCUAUUUCUGGUUAAAACACAAAAUCGACUGAGUCAGAGGAUAAAGUGUAUAUACCACCAGUGCACAAAUCGCAUUCUCUCUGAUGUAUGAGUCUAAUAUCAGCUACAUAUUGGAGGUUACACGGGAUCGAUAUCUUUCAUGAUGAUGACUGAAUCGGAGCUCGAAGAACUUGAUUCAUACACCGAUGUUUCUUCCAUCAAGAAAUACGGCCAUCUUUCGUACCACCUCUAAGCACAAUAUGACCCCAGCAAAGCAACCAAGCACAAUAAUAAACAGGCUGUAUUCUAGUAGCACUUCUUGAGCUGUGAUCAGUCUUUGUACUCUGGAUUCAUUAGCCACAAAGGUAUGGUGAAGGCGUGGCGCGGGUUGGUUCAUGCUUACCCUUGCCAUUGCUCAUAAAGUAUUUUUACAUUGGCUUAUCGCAUUAACUUGGCCGAAGAAAAGAUCAAACUCCCAUGAAAAGAAAUGUGAAAAUCCCGUGACGCAGAAAAGGUUAAGUGGUCUUUACGUCCUGAUACUUGCUACAAUGACAAGGAAAGUACUCGGGUAUCCAGGUAUCAACAAACGCAGCAUGAGGCUAAGUGUAAUUUUAGCCCUCCGGCAAGUUUGUCAUCGGGUUUUUUUCGGUCGGGUUUAUCUCAUUGAAUUGUAUCACGGGAAAAUACCGGAAAUACUCUGGAAAUAAAGGCUUUUGAUUUCA
This 1580-nucleotide long non-coding RNA is filed under the name Pocillopora damicornis (cauliflower coral). Its description in RNAcentral is "uncharacterized LOC113673082". The record is from RNAcentral. Lineage: Eukaryota; Metazoa; Cnidaria; Anthozoa; Scleractinia; Pocilloporidae.